This 75-nucleotide transfer RNA is filed under the name Acidimicrobium sp. RNAcentral describes it as "tRNA-Gly". It matches the Rfam family "tRNA". Rfam says of the family: Transfer RNA (tRNA) molecules are approximately 80 nucleotides in length. Their secondary structure includes four short double-helical elements and three loops (D, anti-codon, and T loops). Lineage: Bacteria; Bacillati; Actinomycetota; Acidimicrobiia; Acidimicrobiales; Acidimicrobiaceae. RNAcentral also lists the same sequence under 5 other names. The record is from RNAcentral.
GCGGGUGUAGUUCAAUGGCUAGAAUCUCAGCCUUCCAAGCUGAUUAUGCGGGUUCGAUUCCCGUCACCCGCUCCA